GUGCCAGCCGCCGCGGUAAUACGGAGGGGGCUAGCGUUGUUCGGAAUUACUGGGCGUAAAGCGCGCGUAGGCGGACAUUUAAGCCAGGGGUGAAAUCCCGGGGCUCAACCCCGGAACUGCCCUUGAUACUGGGUGUCUUGAGUUCGAGAGAGGUGAGUGGAAUUCCGGGUGUAGAGGUGAAAUGCGUAGAUAUUCGGAGGAACACCAGUGGCGAAGGCGGCUCACUGGCUCGAUACUGACGCUGAGGUGCGAAAGUGAGGGGAGCAAACAGGAUUAGAAACCCUUGUAGUCC
RNAcentral lists this ribosomal RNA (292 nucleotides) under uncultured bacterium. RNAcentral describes it as "partial 16S ribosomal RNA". It matches the Rfam family "Bacterial small subunit ribosomal RNA", at positions 505 to 796 of the family's 1533-position model. The record is from RNAcentral.